AAAAUAGAAAUAGAGGAUUAUUUUUUCGACUUCCAAGAAAUUGGUAAACCACCUAAGUUGAUAAAGGACCCACUAACUGUCCGACAUGUAGUUUGACCAGAAGCCCUGUCGGCAUCGCAGUAAUCAUAAAGAGAGAAAAAUGAAGAAGCAUUAAGGAAUAACCCCUGAUUUGGGUAAGUUCUCAGGUAACUGAUUACUCUUAAAGCUGCUUUGUAAUGAUCAAUACUAGGCUUUUGCAUAUAUUGACUGAGAGUCAAGACGACAAAGAAUAAAUCUUGUCUUGCGUGUGUUAAAUAAUUAAUAUUUCCAAUGAGAUGUUUGUAAAGAAUUGGAUCUGACAUAAGAUUGGUUGAUUCUAUAGGGAGUUUUAUUGUCGGAUCAAUUAGGGAAAAAGCCGAAGGAAGAUGAGAAACAUCAAACUCAUUAAGGAGAUCCAAGGUAUAUUUUCAAUGACUUAGAAUGAUUCCUUAUUCUUCCUCAGAACCUCCAUAACUAAAAAAUAAUGUUAAGUAUCGAGAUCCUUAAUUUAAACUCGAUUUGAAGGAAAACUUUGAGUUCUUUAAUUUUAUCAGUAGUAUUUCCUGUGAUUAAAAGAUCAUCAACGUAGACAAUAAUAAUUGAAAUAGAUUUCCCUGAGUUUUUCAACAACAAUGAAUAGUCAUAAGAGAAGCUGUAUAACCUUUGAAGUUUAAUGCUCAUGCAAGUCGAGCAUACCAUUAUCUGAAGGCUUUCUACAGUCCGCAUAGAUACUUGUUAAGUCAACAUACAUGUUGGGUUGAGGAGGCUCUAAUUCAGCAAUAAACUUCAUAUUGACUUUUUCUUGCAUGUUUUCUUACAAGAAGGCAUUGUUCACAUCAAAUUGUGAAAUAUCCCACUUUUUCUAGGCUGUAAUUGCCAAAAUACAUCUGACGGUGAUCAUUUUGACCACUGGGGAAAAGAUUUUAUUGAAAUCAACCCCUUCUAUUUGAAUAUCUACUCGAAUCACCAAUAUAACUUUUAAUCUUUCAAGAGAACCAUUUGUAUGUUGUUUAAAUUUAUAUACCCAUUUGUAAGGUAAUAUUUUUCUCCCCUUUGGUAAAUGAACUACCUCUCAUAUUUGAUUAAGAAACAAAACAUCAAUCUCAUCGUUCAUUGCUUGUACCCAACCAGGGUGUACAAGCUUGUGAAUAUCUGUUAGGUCUAAUAAUUAAGGGAACAAAAUUGAGAACAACCUGACUGGGAGGAGGAGUCAAAGCUAACAAGCAAACGGGGGCAGAAGGGACAAUAAAACAUGAGUUUAUAAUAUCACUAAGAUAGAUAAUGUUGCGAAUAUAAUCCUUCAAAUGAGAAGGUAGAUUGCCUAUGUUAGUCCUUUAAGAUCUUUUAGGAGGUGGUGAGGAUGGUGAUUCAGAAGAGACAGGUAUAGAUGACUCAGAAUACGGAUGAAUAGGAGAACCAGAGGAGAAUGAGAAAAUAGUGAACUAGGAGUUGAAUCUAUAGAAGUAGAAGUAGGAUAGGAAGAAGUGAAGGAGUGAUCAUGAUAUGUAGGAAUAGGAAAAACUUUAGAAGGAAUAUGAGAAUAAUUAUCAAUAAAAGGAAAAAUAUCUUUAAAAAAUUGGACAUCUCUAGGCACAGAGAAUCUUUUAGAAGAUAAGUCAAAAAGUUUGUAUCCCUUUUAAUCUCUUGAAUACUCUAAGAAUACACACCUAGUGGAUCUAGGAUUAAAUUUUUCUCUCCUAUGUGACAGGGUGUUUGCAAAACACAAACAACCAAAUCAUAACAACUGAUAGGAUGAUGACUUGCCAAACAAAAUUUCAUAGUGUCUUUUACCUUGAAGAACUCUAAAAGUCAGAUUAUUUAUCAAGUAGGUGGCUGUAAGUAUACACUCACCCCAAUAAAUCAUAGGAACUUGGAUUGAAAUUUUAGAGCUCUUGCAAUUUCAGUAAAUGUCUAUUUUUUUCUCUUAACUACCCCAUUUUGUUGUGGGGUAGCAACACAUAAAGUCUGCUGUAUUAUUCUUUGAGAACUAAAAAAAUUGGAAUCUGCAAUACUCUUUCCUUAUUCUGUAGCAUUAUCAAAUCUAAUAAUUUUCACCUUCUCGCCAAUUUGUCUUUUAAUCAUUUGUAAGAAUAUUGAAUAACUAAAAAUGCAUUCCCUUUAGUGGUUAACAGAUAUGUCCAAGUCCCUCAACUGUAAUCAUCCACCAUAGUCAAGAAAUACUUAUAAUUAUUAUAACUAGGUAAUUUAUAAGGACCCAAUGUAUCUAUAUUAAUCAAGUCAAAAAUGAAUUUAGAACUGAUGUGACUUAUAGAAAAAGAGAGUCUAGCUUGCCUGGCUAGGGGACAAAUUUCACUAUGACAAUCACAAUUAGGAGGAACAACAAGGAAACUGAUAUUUUCAUUGAUGAAUAUAGAAAAUUCCCAAGUCUUACAUGCCAUAAUCUUACAUCAGAAUUAGCAUUGAAACGUACUAGAAAGGAAGCUGGAACAGGAUUAUACAUAGAACUACUAAAACUGGUAAAUGUUUGGGAAACUUUGUGAUUGUCUUGGAUAUCACUAGACUUCUUAGGAGUGAAUUAGAGCUUGUAGAGACCUUUUGUUUACUCGACCAAAAGCUUGUGGCCUCUUUAUUAAAGGGCCCUACAAGACAUAACUAUCAGAAUUGAAGGAUAAAAUGUUAUUGUAUUGAAUACUGAACUUGUGAACUGGCAGUAGGCUAUACUUAAAACUGGGAACAUACAAAAAAAUAUGUUAUGUUAAACCAUAAGGAAUUUGUACGUUAGCUAUAUGGGUGACAAGAAUAAAAUAAGAAUCAGGUAAAGUGAUAUUGAUAGAAACUGCAAGAUCAGUAGUAGAAGUAAAAGAACUAGAAUUGAAACACAUAUGCUCAAAGCACCAACAUUUAUUAUCCAAAUACUAGUAUUAAAAAUUGAAAAAAAUUCCCUGAGUACUUGAGAAUAGUACCAACCACUACAUUAUAAUGAACUUUAGCUUAUUUUGUUCAUGUUUGAUCCUUCUGUGGAUUUUUGUUUAGCCAUCUGAAUGAAAUAUUUGAAUUGUUCUUUGGUCAUGUGUUGUUGACGAGAUCCACGUCAAUUGUGUUUUCAUUCUCACUUUCUUCUAUAGUUAUCACACUAUUUUCUCUGAUUUAUGGCUGAUUCCCUUUGUUGGUAAACUAAAAAUCUUGAGAAAAACCAUGUAACCUGAAGCAAUUAUUAUCCACACGACCUGUAUUACCACAAUAGUCACAAGACAUAUUAGGAUUAUAUUUUUUCUUAACCUUAAGUUUCUGAUUCUUCUGGUUUGCCUUUGUGAACCUUGGUGGUCAUGGAUAAUUAUUCAUUCUUGGGUAAGAGUUAAAAGAUCUAGAUCUAGAAUUGGUUAUAGGGUUUGGGGAUCUCUGAAUUUUCUUAGCAACUUAUACUAAUUCAUGUUGCUCACCAUGAAAGAGAAAGAAACAGUUGGAAUUAGUGGACUUAUAUAACUUUUCCUUUGAUUAUCAUCAUAUAAAAUUAGAGAAUAAGCAACACUAAUAUUAGACAAGGGAUUCAUCAUCAAAAUAUUUCCCUGAGCCUGAGCAUAGAUAUUAUUCAAAUCCAUAAAAAAUUGUACAAGUUUUUCAUCUUCUAGAGACUUUUCUAGCUUCAACUUUCCUUCACAAGUGCACACACAGCUGCACUUAACACAAUAAUUCAGAGAUUCAAGCUCAUCUCAAAGUCUUUUGAGUUUAGCAAAAUACCCUGCAACUUAGCUUCAUUAGACUGCCCAAAUGUAUGCUCUAAACAGAGCCAUAAAUCUUUGGCAGUCCUGGAGUAAAUAACACUACCAGUUAUAUCCUUGUAAAGGGAAUUAAGAAGCUAAUAGAUUACCAUAUCAUUUCACCUGUUCCAAAAAUACAGAUUUGGUGAUCUAGGAUCUGGUGCAUCCUUAGCACUAUUGAUGAAACCAAGUUUGUUCUUGGCUGACAAUACUAUAAGCACUAAUCUCUUCCAUCUAUGAUACCAUCUUCUAUCAAAAAAAGUGUUCACCAAGCUCAUUCCAGGUGAAUCUGAAGAAUGAAGGUAGAAGGCAUGAGUGGGAUCCAUUGCUGGUGUGGUUUGACUGGAUGAAUAGAAGUAGGUAUGAGAGUGACUACAUCUGCCAUUGUAGAUAAGAAUUGAUGAACAAAAGGGUGAUUUGAACGUGAUUACUACUCUGAUACCAUGUAGAAAAUAAGAGACAGUAAUUAGGAAUAUUUAUUCUCUUUCUUUUAUUGCUUGACAAUCAAGUAUAUUUAUUCAAGUUAGUAAAUGGAAAAAGAAUAUUCCAUGCUAACAAGCUAUGCACCUGUCCUAUUUAAAUUGUCUUUCCUAAAACUACUAAUAUGAUUUGCAAUGCUAAAAGAAUCUAUACACUAUAUGUCUUGUUUAACUAUUUGGGACUUUUGUCUUGUGUGCUGAAUUAUUGUUGGUACCUGUUUCUUGUCUAUUCGGCCCAACUUGUGAUCCAAGCUGAAUUUAUUUGUUUUAGUUUGUUGAUGUGUGCUUUCUCUUAUCCAUACACGUGUGUGAUGGAGCAAGAGUUUGACAAGUUCUAGAAAUGACCUUUGUGGUCUUUGGAGUUGAAACUUCAGCUUUGUGAGAAUGAGAAUGAUAAUCCUCCAUGGAUUCUGACAAGCCCUUUUCAAUGCUAACACAAACUAGUAUUAAACUAGCAUGAGGUAAACUUUAACCAUCGAGUUAUUUAGCGAAUCAUAUGUUUUUUUAUAACAUCAAAAUAAAUUUAUCUGAAUUUGCUGCAAACUCUAGCUUGUUCUCUGGUACAUUCCAAUACAAACCUAUAUCUCAAGGUCAAGAAUCAAUUCAAUCCUCUUAUAGUGGUAAAUACUUUGGGUUCCUUUGAUAUGUGUGCAAUAUGACAAAAGGAGGACCAAAGUUUCUCCUCUUGUUUGCACUGUUUAUUUUAUCCUACACCCAAUAAAUUGCCCUUGCAGUGGCAGUGUUGAACACUAGAUCCUAUCUUCCAUUUGUUCAUGCUGUAUGACAUAAAUGUGAUAUUCUUUCUUCUUAUAGAGUGUGUUUGAUGAAUUUGGGGGCUUAUCAGAAGUUUGAAUUGAGUCCAACAAGGAAGUUGUUGAAGUCAAUCUUGGUACGUUGCUUGCAUUUCUCAAAUCAAUAUUUAUAAUGAGUUUACACUCAAAGCAAUAAUCUCUACUUAGUAAUGUACAUUUGUUUAUGGUGAUCAUGUAAUAUAAAGAGAAUAUGAAAGAAAUAUAUUCAAGAAGAAAAUAUAGGUAAAACUAUCGGGUUCUAAGUGUAUAUGUGAAUGAAAAAUAGAGAAAAUACAUGGAGAAAAAAAUGAAUUGAGUCUUCACUUUAAGGAAGUAAAGUUCUCCCACAUUGGUGGGAGAAAUGAAUUUCUUAUGCUUAUAUUGAGAAGCAUUCCUACAUGUGGAUAGUGAGGCAAGAACAAGACAUGCCUUGGACCAUUGUCGCUCAACUUUGGAUUUGGAUUCAAACAAUUGAGAGAUUAUUUUUUGGGCAAAAUUUAUUUGAAACUUGAAAAUUAGUAAAGUUUUAAUCCAAAAAUUCAAGGACAUCACCCUUCGAGGCACUAUUUCAGAACAAAAUAACGACCUGCGUGUGCAGGUUGGAUGUAGGCCAAGCCAGAAUAUUUUGAUUUGCACCAAAACAUGACCUACGCAGGUAGAUCUAGCAGGUGAGGUGUCCUUUCAAAAUAGUGCAUUGCUUCGUUACGAAAAUUUGAGUUGAAAAAUAACUUCUUCUUCUUAAAACACUAGUGUGAUCAUCAAACUGUUGAAUGAGUUCGUUGUUCAGAAAAUUUGAGGUACCACUAUUUUCUGAAGUGGAUCAUUUUAUCUUGGGAGGAUAUAUUCUAUUAACCUUGGUACUUGAGGGGAAUAAAUUCCUUAAGGACACACUGUGAAUUUGGUGAACUUGAUUCUAUCAUUUCUUCCUUCAUCUCUUUCUUUAAGUUGGUUUUAUUGGUUUUCAGAAAAUAGUAGAAACUAAGUUCAUACAUCAUUUGAACUUGUGUUUAAAGUAGUUGAAACUUCUUUGUAGUUCUUGAAGUUGUUCUUGAGCUUAGUGUUGAAGUUCUUAUUAUUAAAUAUACAUUUUGUACCCAAAAAAAUAACAAAAACAAAGACAAAAUCAAUGUCAAACAGCACUAGGAGUAUGGAGUGACUAGGAGUGUACAUCAUACUAACAUAAUCCUGGGCAUCCUAAUAACCUGAUUUGAAAUCUUAGGUUCUUGAUUCCCAAAUGCUUAAGAAGUUAUUAAGUCGUCUUUUUCGAGUCCUACCAUUAUUAGAUUGGAAACUGAAAAGUGAAAUUGAGCAAUGAUUUAUCUGUUUACAUUUCAGUUUUUUAUCAAUAAACGGAAAUGUUUGACAUGUUACUUCAUAACUUUCUUCAUGUAUUCUAACUUCAUGACUUUUUUCAUGUAUUCUAUUAUCUAAUGGUUUACUCUGUUAGUCACAUUUUGAGGUAAGGUUGGUCUUGAAUAAAAUUUAUCCACAGUUUGUUUCAAAUGAUUCGUCUAAUUGCAAAAAAAUGGGGCAGCCCGGUGUACUAAAGCUACCACUAUGCAUGGUGUUCGGGAAAGGGCCCCACCCAGUGGCGGAGCGACCUUUGGACGAGGGGGUUCAUCUGAACCCCCUUCGACGGAAAAUUAUACUAUUUAUGUAAGGUUAAAAUUAUUUUUAUGUUUCUAUAGUAGAUGUUGAACCCCCUUCGGCUAAUUCGUAUGUUCACUUCUGAACUCCUUUAGUGAAAAUCCUAGCUCCGCCAUUGGCCCCACCAUAAGGGUGUAUUGUAUGCAGUCGUACCUUGCAUAGAGGUAGUUUCCAAGGCUUGAACCCGUGACCUUCUGGUCACAUGACAGUAACUUUACCAGUUACUCCAAGGCUCCCCUUCAUUCGUCAAAUUGCAAUAUGUAAUAAAAGAAAAAAGAAACACUUACCAUCAAAAAGUCCUAUAUAUAUGAUCUGCGAAGAUCUCCAGCUUUCUAUCUUAAAUAGAUUUGAGUUUAAUUUGUAGCUUUUUAUUUCAUGCCUCCACACUAAAUGAAGAAAAAGAGAAACCCCUAAAAGUAAAAGGAAAAUCUAAAUGUAGAGGAAAAAGGAAAGGAACCUACAUUAAUUACAACAUUGAAUAUGAAAGCAACAUAGGGAUAACCUAAUGCCAUUAUUAGUGACCUAAAUUUUGGAUCAACUUGGACUGUAUGCAUGAUGCAUUAUACGAGAACUGUCUGAUUUGGGGGUAUUUCCAUAAGAGUUAAUUUGAACUGUGUAAAGAUCUGAUAAUUCAUCCUGAUCAUUCUCUUCCUGUCUACGUUGAUUAGACCAAGAGUCUCCAGUCAUCUUUCUCAAACCUUCAAGUUCAAUAGCCACUUCCUUCAUUGUAGGCCUAUCUUCUCCAUGCGGCCUAAGGCAGUUCUUCACCAGCUCACCCAUCUUUUGGAGUUGCUCAAGACUCCCUUCCCGCAAAACACGACGACCCAUUAUAUAAAACAAGCUAUUCUUAUUCAUGGACAACACAAAAUAGUCGGCCAAAUUCUUGUUUUCAUUUCUAGCUUUAAUAAUAGGUUUUAACCCUGUCAAAAGUUCUGCCAAAACUACUCCAAAUCUGUAAACAUCACUUUUCUCUAUCAAUUGACUUGUGCAAAAAUAUUCUGGACCCAAGUACCCUGAUGUCCCUAGAACCAAUGUUGCCACAUGCGUUUGAUCUAGAGGAAUUAACCUUGAUGCUCCAAAAUCUGCCACUUUAGCUGUGUAAACAUUAUCCAACAAUAUGUUGGCAGACUUAACGUCUCUAUGAAUUAUAGGCAUGGACGCAAAUGAAUGAAGGUAAGCAAGUGUAGUGGCUAUCUCUGCUGUAAUUCUCAAACGAUUUUGCCAAGUUAACCAGCCCGCUCUACGUUAGUUGUGAAUGUGCUUGUAGAGAGUUCCUUCAGAGACAUACUCAUAAACCAAUAAGGAACUUCAUGUUCAAUACAACACCCAAAGAGCCUCACCACAUUUCGAUGGUUAAUUUGAGUGAGAAUAAGCACCUCAUUGAUAAACUUCUCAAUUUGAGUCUCAUCCAUAAUUCUUGAUUUCUUAAUGGCAACUAUGCGAGUAUCACGUAGCACACCUCUAUAUACGAUCCCAUUGCCACCACGACCAAGAAUUCUAUCAUUGGCAUAAUUGUUUGUAGCUUUCUUGAGUUCUUCAGCUGUAAAAAUUCUUGUUGCUUCCACACCACCCUCUUUAGUAAAUAUUCUAUGCUUCAAUAAUAAACCACCAUUUUGUUGGAAAAACUUCUCCCUGACCUUAAUUAACUUUCUUUUCUUGAUGCAAUAAUAGAGCAAAGUUAUCUCAACCACCAGGCAGAUUAACCCAACUCCAGUACAUGUGUAAUUAAAUAGGUUGAACUUUUAUUGUCUAUUUAACCAGCUAAAUAAAAAGUUCAGGAUUGUACACAUUCAUUUUACUGUUUAAUGUAAAUAAAAAACAUGAAAGCAAGUUCUCUACUAUUCAAACAUAGUCUAAAUUUCUAAAAAAAAAUUGAGCAGUUCUUGCUCAUUGAUCAUAAUAAUCAUAUGCACGAAUAUUGGAGGUUUCCUAUAAUAUUCAUAAUUAAAAAUACGUAAGAAUAUGGGAAAGCAAGUGUACUGCUUUUCCACUUAUGUGGUUCGGGUAUGAUUUAUUGUUAUAAAAGAGAAAAAUGUAGUAUUCAAAUUUUGGUUAGAUACAGAAAUAAGUGUGCAAAAAUAGUUUGAAAUAGACUUUCAAGUUUGCUUGUCAUUUGCUUACAUAGGAAGUAAUAUUUCCUCUCUAUCAAUUUUGUGUUACUCUGUUCUUUUAGUCUAUAUAAAAAAGUAUUGUUUAUAUAUAUAGAAAUAAUUUAACUCUAGACUUACGUGCAUACGUAGCGAAAGUUUUAGUGCAUCGACUAUCUGUUUUUUAAUAUUAACAUUAAACUUAGCAUUUUACUCUUAAUGAUAUUAUUUGUAGCAAGAUAAAUGUCUAUAUAUAGUUCAGAUCACAAAUUCAAGAAAAACAAAAAAAAAUCUUUCUUUCGUAAACUGUGUCGGGUCAAAUGACAUGAGAUCAAGCGUAGGGGAGGGAAUAUAGCAUUUGUGGUUGUGAUAGUUUUCCAUUUUACUUACCUAGAGUGAACUUGAUCAAUGGGAAUUUAGAGGAGGGAGCAAUACAACCACAACCAUUCUUUUUGCCAUCGCCGGUAUAACCUUCGGGACAACAACAAUCAUAACUCUUAGGGAUGUUUAUGCACAUUUUUUCACACAAAUUGAUGCUUGGAUCAGCACGUUCAUCAAUAUCUGGCAAAACCAAAUAAGUAUAUCAAAACAUGUGAAUCGACUAAAUGGAGCAUAAAAUAGCUUUCACUUUGCGUAAAACAUUUGAUUAGUGGAAAAGGGAUCAAAUUUGUUCUUGUGUUAUGCGAAAUUGAGUAAUAACUUUUCCUCUAUUAAAUUUUGUUAUUUUGUUGGGUUCUAGUGUAAAAUGUGAAUAGAAAAUAAAGAAAAAAGUGAUUGUUUUUUCACUUUAUGGAAGAAAUAUUUCUCACACAUUAAUAGGAGAAAUGAACUUUCUUGAGCUUAAAAAAGUAGAAGAACUAUGUUCUAAGUGAGGUAAGAAGACAUGUCUCGCACCGUCAUCACUCGCUCACUUGGCUCAGCUUCAACAAAUGAUCGGGAGGUUUAUCUUUUUGACAAAAUUCAUUUAAAAUCAAUUAUUCAAUAAUUAAUUAAUCCAAAAAUCUGAUCAAAUUUUUUUUCUUUCUUUUGUGGCCGCACAAAUGAGUUUGCGGACGCAUAACCAUCGCAUUGUGAAGGGAUACGAUCCUCCAGUUUAAUGUUUAAAUUAUGCUGAUGGGUUAUGCGGUCACAUAAUGAGUUAUGCUGAUCACAAACCCAACACAUAAUCCUUAUCAAUUCACUGGUUUAAUUUGUUAAGCAUUAUAUGGUCGCAUAAUGGAUUAUGCUCCCACAAAAGCCAAUACAAAAGUAUCGACAAGUUUGAAACAGUGCAACUUUUCAAAACCAUCGCUUUUUCUUGAAGCAAUACUUAUUGACUAUAAUUAUCUAAUUUCUCCUUAGAAACUGAUAGGAAGUUCUAUAAGUUAAAAAUUUUCAUUUUCUACGAAAACUAAAGUGUGGUUUGCUGCUAUUGAGUAAGUUUGAAGUUCGACAAAAUUUGAGGUACAACUAUUCUACUGAAGUGAAUCAUGAUAUAUUUCAAUGUUUUGAAAGGCUAGGACAUGAGGCGAGACGUUUUGCAUGGCAUGGAGCGAGACGUAAGCCCAAAACAUGGGGCUUACGUUCUAUGGAUCUACAACGCGUAUCUUAUGUAUCUUCAAUUUUAUAAUUUUAUUACUAG
Molecule: long non-coding RNA, 10362 nt
Filed under: Capsicum annuum
Lineage: Eukaryota; Viridiplantae; Streptophyta; Magnoliopsida; Solanales; Solanaceae
Description: long non-coding RNA (CANN_LNC016022)
Source: RNAcentral